Molecule: ribosomal RNA, 2830 nt
Filed under: Archaeoglobus sp.
Lineage: Archaea; Methanobacteriati; Methanobacteriota; Archaeoglobi; Archaeoglobales; Archaeoglobaceae
Description: partial 23S ribosomal RNA
Rfam family: Archaeal large subunit ribosomal RNA
Source: RNAcentral
CUUAGAACCCGGGAUUCCCGAAUGGGCAAUCCUGCCCCUUCGGGGGCGCUCCGUAAGGAGCGGGAACGCGGGGAAAGGAAGCAUCUGAGUACCCGCAGGAAAAGAAAUCAAACGAGAUGCCGUCAGUAGGGGCGACCGAACGCGGCAGAGCCCAAACCGAACACCCUGCCGCAAGGUGGGGUGGAUGUGGGGUUGCAGGACCUCGCCCAACGUCGUGGAGUGAAGCCGAAGUCCGCUGGAACGCGGUGCCGUAGAGGGUGAAAGCCCCGUAGGCGUAAGCUCCGCGGCUACGAGGUGAGGUAUCCUGAGUACCGCGGGUUGGAAUUCUCGCGGGAAGCUGGGGGUCAUCAACCUCCAAGGCUAAAUACGUCCCGAGUCCGAUAGCGCAAUAGUAGGGUGACCGAAAGCUGAAAAGAACCCCGAGAAGGGGGGUGAAAAGAGCCUGAAAUCGGCCGGGGAUAGUGCGCAGUAGCCCCAAAGGUAACUCCGGCGAAGGAAAGUGUCGCGAGGCACGAGUACGAGCCGGAGCAUGCCAGGGUUACUGCAUACGUUUUGAAAAACGGGCCAGGGAGUGUAUGUCAGUGGCGAGGCUAAGGGUUGAAAGCCCGUAGCCGAAGGGAAACCGAAGGUCCGCAGGAAACGAGGGACCGGGUGUGCUCGCCUGAGUCACUGGCAUACGACCCGAAGCCGGACGAUCUAGACGGGGGUAGGGUGAAGCGGGUCGAAAGGCUCGUGGAGGCCCGCAGGGGUGUUGAUGUGCAAAUCGCUCCCAUGACCUCCGUCUAGGGGUGAAAGUCCAAUCGAGUCCGGGGAUAGCUGGUUCCCUCCGAGACAUACCGCAGUAUGCCCCGCCCGGAGGCUGGUAGCGGGGUAGAGUUACUGAUUGGGGGAGUCGGGGGGUGACACCCUCGCCCUCCUGUCAAACUCCGAAUCCGCUACCGCCGUAGAAGGGCGGAGUCAGGGGCAGGGGUUAAGCUCCUGUUCCGAGAGGGAGACAACCCAGACCGAGGUUAAGGCCCCUAAGUGUCGGCUAAGUGUGAACGAUAAAGGAGGUCCCGGGUCGAAGACAGCGGGGAGGUAGGCUUAGAAGCAGCCAUCCUUUAAAGAGUGCGUAAAAGCUCACCCGCCGAGACUCGGGGCGCCGAAAAUGGACGGGGCUCAAGCCGACCGCCGAUACCUCGGGGCACCGAAAGGUGAUCCGGUAGGAGGGCGCACCGGUGGCGCAGAAGCUCGGGCCUGAGCUCGGGUGGAGCCGUCGGUGACGAGAAUCCUGGCGGUAGUAGCAGCAUAGUCGGGUGAAAAUCCCGACCGCCGGAAGAGCAAGGGUUCCACGGCAAUGUUCGUCAGCCGUGGGUUAGUCGGUCCUAAGGUGGCUCGUAAUUCGACGCCACCGAAAGGGGAGCGGGUUAAUAUUCCCGCACCACCGCCCUAUGCCUUUAAGGCACCCGACGCCUCGGGAUAGGCGGAGCGCUUCUGCCAUGGGGCGUCCAAGCGUCGAAGCCCCCGGAGAUCCGUAAUGGAGAGAAGGGGGUGAAGGCGUGAUGGCGUAAGUCCGCCGACUCCUGGGGACCGUGAAAAGGGGGGCGGGGACCGUACCGAGAACCGACACAGGUGCUCUGGGUUAGAAGCCUAAGGCGUGACGGAACAAUCCAGCAGAGGGAAAUCGGCAAAUUGGCCCCGUAUGUUCGCUAGAAGGGGUGCCUGCUCUCUCGUGGGAGCAGGUCGCAGUGACUAGGGGGGAGCGACUGUUUACUAAAAACACAGGGGGCUGCAACCCGGCAACGGUUAGUACAGCCCCUGAGUCCUGCCCAGUGCGGGUACCUGAAAGCCCGGUACAACGGGUCGAAGGGCCCGUAAACGGCGGGGGUAACUCUGACCCUCUUAAGGUAGCGUAAUACCUUGCCGCUUAAUUGGCGGCUUGCAUGAACGGAUUAACGACUCCCCCACUGUCCCCUGCUGGAAGCCGGCGAACCCGACAUCCCAGCCGAAUAGUCUGGGGACCCCCGUUGGGAAGCGAAGACCCUGUGGAGCUUUACUGCAGCCUGCCGUUGCCUUACAGCUGAGGGUGCGCAGGGUAGGCGGGAGGCUUCGAAGUGCCCUCUUUGGGGGGCAUGGAGCCGUCGAUGAGACACCGCCCAUCCUUAGCUGUAGGGCUAACCGCUUCGGCGGGACAGCGGUUGGUGGGCAGUUUGGGUGGGGCGCCACGCUCCCGAAAAGGUAUCGGGAGCGCCCAAAGGUCGGCUCAGGCGGGUCAGAACUCCGCCGUAGAGUGCAAGGGCAAAAGCCGGCCUGACGUGAACCCCCACAAUAAAGGUUCACGAGCCGAAAGGCGGGCCUAGCGAACCAUCCUGGCCUUUUGGUGAGGCCGGAUGACGUCAGAAAAGCUACCCCAGGGAUAACAGAGUCGUCCCCGGCGAGAGUACAUAUCGACCCGGGGGCUUGCUACCUCGAUGUCGGCUCUCCCCAUCCUGGCCGUGCAGCAGCGGCCAAGGGUGAGGUUGUUCGCCUAUUAAAGGGGAUCGUGAGCUGGGUUUAGACCGUCGUGAGACAGGUCGGUUGCUAUCUGACGGGGGUGUCCGGACGGCUGAGGGGAGGGAGGCUCUAGUACGAGAGGAACGAGCCUCCGGCGCCACUGGUUUACCGGUUGUCUGGCAGGGCAUUGCCGGGCAGCUACGUGCCAGUGGCUAAAGGCUGAAAGCAUCUAAGCCUGAAGCCACCCCCGAAAAGAGCCGUCCUUAAGGGCUCCGGUAAAAGACCGGGUUGAUAGGACCGGGGUGUAAGCGGCAAGCUUCGGCGAGCCGUUCAGCCCGCGGUCACUAAUCGCCCGCGC